Molecule: ribosomal RNA, 253 nt
Filed under: uncultured prokaryote
Description: partial 16S ribosomal RNA
Rfam family: Bacterial small subunit ribosomal RNA
Source: RNAcentral
ACAGAGGGUGCGAGCGUUGUUCGGAAUUACUGGGCGUAAAGCGCGUGUAGGUGGCGAUGUAAGUCGGGUGUGAAAUCCCUUGGCUUAACCAAGGAAGUGCACUCGAUACUGUGUCGCUUGAGUACCGGAGGGGAUGGCGGAAUUCCCGGUGUAGAGGUGAAAUUCGUAGAUAUCGGGAGGAACACCUGUGGCGAAGGCGGCCAUCUGGACGGUCACUGACACUGAGACGCGAAAGCGUGGGUAGCAAACAGGA